GGGAGUGUACGCGGAUCUGGUGACCGCCUCAGUCUUCAAAACUGACGGAACACGUUUAACGCUGUUCGGUGGGUUCGAUUCCCAUCCACUUCCGC
RNAcentral lists this transfer RNA (95 nucleotides) under bacterium. RNAcentral's name for it is "tRNA-Sec". It matches the Rfam family "Selenocysteine transfer RNA". RNAcentral also lists the same sequence under 1 other name. The record is from RNAcentral.